CCCAUCGAUGAUGAUGAGCUGAUCUCCUACAUCACCUCCGGCCUCGACAUGGAGUACCAACCUCUCGUCUCCGCCAACGAUGCCCGCACCGAGCCCAUCAGCAUCGAUGAUCUCUACGCCCAGAUGAGUAACUUCGAUC
Triticum aestivum (bread wheat) is the source of this 139-nucleotide non-coding RNA. NCBI's taxonomy places the organism in Eukaryota, Viridiplantae, Streptophyta, Magnoliopsida, Poales, Poaceae. The record is from Rfam.